RNAcentral lists this ribosomal RNA (582 nucleotides) under uncultured bacterium. Its description in RNAcentral is "partial 16S ribosomal RNA". It matches the Rfam family "Bacterial small subunit ribosomal RNA", at positions 355 to 935 of the family's 1533-position model. The record is from RNAcentral.
UGGGGAAUUUUGGACAAUGGGCGCAAGCCUGAUCCAGCCAUGCCGCGUGCGGGAAGAAGGCCUUCGGGUUGUAAACCGCUUUUGUCAGGGAAGAAAUCUUCUGAGUUAAUACCUCGGGAGGAUGACGGUACCUGAAGAGUAAGCACCGGCUAACUACGUGCCAGCAGCCGCGGUAAUACGUAGGGUGCAAGCGUUAAUCGGAAUUACUGGGCGUAAAGCGUGCGCAGGCGGUUUUGUAAGACAGAGGUGAAAUCCCCGGGCUCAACCUGGGAACUGCCUUUGUGACUGCAAGGCUUGAGUGCGGCGGAGGGGGAUGGAAUUCCGCGUGUAGCAGUGAAAUGCGUAGAUAUGCGGAGGAACACCGAUGGCGAAGGCAAUCCCCUGGCCUGCACUGACGCUCAUGCACGAAAGCGUGGGGAGCAAAACAGGAUUAGAUACCCUGGUAGUCCACGCCCUAAACGAUGUCAACUGGUUGUUGGGAAGGUUCCUUCUCAGUAACGUAGCUAACGCGUGAAGCUGACCGCCUGGGGAGUACGGCCGCAAGGUUGAAACUCAAAUGAAUUGACGGGGUCAUAGCUGUUU